UUGUUCUCCAAGCAAAAUUUU
Molecule: non-coding RNA, 21 nt
Filed under: Caenorhabditis elegans
Lineage: Eukaryota; Metazoa; Nematoda; Chromadorea; Rhabditida; Rhabditidae
Source: RNAcentral